CCUACGGGAGGCAGCAGUGAGGAAUAUUGGUCAAUGGGCGCGAGCCUGAACCAGCCAAGUAGCGUGAAGGAUGAAUGCCCUAUGGGUUGUAAACCUCUUUUAUCAAGGAAUAAAGUGAGGCACGUGUGCCUUUUUGUAUGUACUUUAUGAAUAAGGAUCGGCUAACUCCGUGCCAGCAGCCGCGGUAAUACGGAGGAUCCGAGCGUUAACCGGAUUUAUUUGGGUUAAAGGGAGCGUAGACGGGUUUUUAAGGCAUUUGUGAAAGGUUGGGGGUCAACCGUAAAAUUGCAGUUUAUAAUGGCAGUCUAGAGUACAGUUGAGGUAGGCGGAAUGCGUGGUGUAGCGGUGAAAUGCAUAGAUAUCACGAAGAACUCCGAUUGCGAAGGCAGCUUACUAACCUGCCACUGACAUUGAUGCUCGAAAGUGUGGGUAUCAAACAGGAUUAGAUACCCUGGUAGUC
Molecule: ribosomal RNA, 460 nt
Filed under: uncultured bacterium
Lineage: Bacteria
Description: partial 16S ribosomal RNA
Rfam family: Bacterial small subunit ribosomal RNA
Source: RNAcentral